Molecule: ribosomal RNA, 440 nt
Filed under: uncultured bacterium
Lineage: Bacteria
Description: partial 16S ribosomal RNA
Rfam family: Bacterial small subunit ribosomal RNA
Source: RNAcentral
CCUACGGGGGGCAGCAGUGGGGAAUAUUGCACAAUGGGGGAAACCCUGAUGCAGCGACGCCGCGUGAGUGAAGAAGUAAUUCGGUACGUAAAGCUCUAUCAGCAGGGAAGAAAAUGACGGUACCUGAGUAACAAGCCCCGGCUAACUACGUGACAGCAGCCGCGGUCAUACGUAGGGGGCAAGCGUUAUCCGGAUUUACUGGGUGAAAAGGGAGCGUAGACGGCAGUGCAAGUCUGGAGUGAAAGGCGGGGGCUCAACCCCCGGACGGCUCUGGAAACUGUACGGCUGGAGUGCAGGAGAGGUGAGUGGAAUUCCUAGUGUAGCGGUGAAAUGCGUAGAUAUUAGGAGGAACAGCAGUGGCGAAGGCGGCUUACUGGACUGUAACUGACGUUGAGGCUCGAAAGCGUGGGGAGCAAACAGGAUUAGAUACCCUAGUAGUC